CAGCAACGCCGCGUGUGUGAUGAAGGUCUUCGGAUUGUAAAGCACUUUCGACCGGGACGAAAACGCCUGAGCUAAUAUCUCAGGUCUUGACGGUACCGGGAGAAGAAGCACCGGCUAACUCUGUGCCAGCAGCCGCGGUAAUACAGAGGGUGCAAGCGUUGUUCGGAAUUAUUGGGCGUAAAGCGCGUGUAGGCGGCUUUGCAAGUCGGGUGUGAAAGCCCUCGGCUCAACCGAGGAAGUGCGCCCGAAACUGCAGAGCUUGAGUGCCGGAGAGGGUGGCGGAAUUCCCCAAGUAGAGGUGAAAUUCGUAGAUAUGGGGAGGAACACCGGUGGCGAAGGCGGCCACCUGGCCGGUAACUGACGCUGAGACGCGAAAGCGUGGGGAGCAAACAGGAUUAGAUACCCUGGUAGUCCACGCCGUAAACGAUGAGAACUAGGUGUCAUGGGUGUUGACCCCCGUGGUGCCGUAGCUAACGCAUUAAGUUCUCCGCCUGGGAAGUACGGUCGCAAGACUA
RNAcentral lists this ribosomal RNA (515 nucleotides) under uncultured Pseudomonadota bacterium. RNAcentral describes it as "bacterial SSU rRNA". It matches the Rfam family "Bacterial small subunit ribosomal RNA", at positions 389 to 896 of the family's 1533-position model. The record is from RNAcentral. Lineage: Bacteria; Pseudomonadati; Pseudomonadota.